This 468-nucleotide ribosomal RNA is filed under the name uncultured bacterium. RNAcentral's name for it is "partial 16S ribosomal RNA". It matches the Rfam family "Bacterial small subunit ribosomal RNA", at positions 28 to 507 of the family's 1533-position model. The record is from RNAcentral.
GACGAACGCUGGCGGCGUGCUUAACACAUGCAAGUCGAACGGAAAGGCCCUGCUUUUGUGGGGUGCUCGAGUGGCGAACGGGUGAGUAACACGUGAGUAACCUGCCCUUGACUUUGGGAUAACUUCAGGAAACUGGGGCUAAUACCGGAUAGGAGCUCCUGCUGCAUGGUGGGGGUUGGAAAGUUUCGGCGGUUGGGGAUGGACUCGCGGCUUAUCAGCUUGUUGGUGGGGUAGUGGCUUACCAAGGCUUUGACGGGUAGCCGGCCUGAGAGGGUGACCGGCCACAUUGGGACUGAGAUACGGCCCAGACUCCUACGGGAGGCAGCAGUGGGGAAUAUUGCACAAUGGGCGGAAGCCUGAUGCAGCAACGCCGCGUGCGGGAUCACGGCCUUCGGGUUGUAAACCGCUUUCGCCUGUGACGAAGCGUGAGUGACGGUAAUGGGUAAAGAAGCACCGGCUAACUACGUG